Molecule: ribosomal RNA, 617 nt
Filed under: uncultured bacterium
Lineage: Bacteria
Description: bacterial SSU rRNA
Rfam family: Bacterial small subunit ribosomal RNA
Source: RNAcentral
UAGAGUUUGAUCCUGGCUCAGGAUGAACGCUGGCGGCGUGCUUAACACAUGCAAGUCGAACGAGGUCCAUGGAGCUUGCUCCGGAAGACCUAGUGGCGAACGGGUGCGUAACACGUGAGAAACCUGCCCCGAUCUCUGGGAUAACAGUUGGAAACGACUGCUAAUACCGGAUGCCGUCCCACCGCUUCAUGGCGGAGUGACGAAAGAUUCAUCGGAUCGGGAGGGUCUCGCGGCCUAUCAGCUAGUUGGAGAGGUAACGGCUCACCAAGGCAUCGACGGGUAGCUGGUCUGAGAGGAUGAUCAGCCACACUGGGACUGAGACACGGCCCAGACUCCUACGGGAGGCAGCAGUGGGGAAUCUUGCACAAUGGGCGAAAGCCUGAUGCAGCAACGCCGCGUGCGGGAAGAAGGCCCUAGGGUUGUAAACCGCUUUCAGUAGGGAAGAAAAUGACGGUACCUACAGAAGAAGGUGCGGCCAACUACGUGCCAGCAGCCGCGGUGACACGUAGGCACCAAAGCGUUAUCCGGAUUUAUUGGGCGUAAAGAGCUCGUAGGCGGUUUGGUAAGUCGGGUGUGAAAACUCUGGGCUCAACCCAGAGAGGGCCACCCGAUACUGC